GAGCAAGACCGCGUGAGGGAGGAAGGCUCUUGGGUUGUAAACCUCUUUUCUUAGGGAAGAAAAAAAUGACGGUACCUAAGGAAUCAGCAUCGGCUAACUCCGUGCCAGCAGCCGCGGUAAUACGGAGGAUGCAAGCGUUAUCCGGAAUCAUUGGGCGUAAAGCGUCCGCAGGCGGCCUGAUAAGUCUGUUGUCAAAGCGUGGAGCUCAACUCCAUUUCGGCAAUGGAAACUGUGAGGCUUGAGUGUGGUAGGGGCAGAGGGAAUUCCCGGUGUAGCGGUGAAAUGCGUAGAUAUCGGGAAGAACACCAGUGGCGAAGGCGCUCUGCUGGGCCAUAACUGACGCUCAUGGACGAAAGCCAGGGGAGCGAAAGGGAUUAGAUACCCCUGUAGUCCUGGCCGUAAACGAUGAACACUAGGUGUCGGGGGUAUCGACCCCCUCGGUGUCGCAGCCAACGCGUUAAAUGUUCCGCCUGGGGAGUACGCACGCAAGUGUGAAACUCAAAGGAAUUGACGGGGGCCCGCACAAGCGGUGGAGUAUGUGGUUUAAUUCGAUGCAACGCGAAGAACCUUACCAGGGCUUGACAUCCUGCGAAUCCCUUGGAAACUUGGGAGUACCUUCGGGAGCGCAGUGACAGGUGGUGCAUGGCUGUCGUCAGCUCGUGUCGUGAGAUGUUGGGUUAAGUCCCGCAACGAGCGCAACCCACGUCUUUAGUUGCCAGCAUUCAGUUGGGCACUCUAGAGAGACCGCCGGUGAUAAACCGGAGGAAGGUGUGGAUGACGUCAAGUCAUCAUGCCCCUUACAUCCUGGGCUACACACGUACUACAAUGCUACGGACAAAGGGCAGCAAACUCGCGAGAGCUAGCAAAUCCCAUAAACCGUGGCUCAGUUCAGAUCGUAGGCUACAACUCGCCUACGUGAAGGAGGAAUCGCUAGUAAUCGCAGGUCAGCAUACUGCGGUGAAUACGUUCCCGGGCCUUGUACACACCGCCCGUCACACCAUGGAAGUUGGCCACGCCCGAAGCCGUUACUCCAACCCUUGUGGAGGAGGACGUCGAAGGUGGGGCUGAUGACUGGGGUGAAGUCGUAACAAGGUAGCCGUACCGGAAGGUG
Molecule: ribosomal RNA, 1111 nt
Filed under: uncultured cyanobacterium
Lineage: Bacteria; Bacillati; Cyanobacteriota
Description: bacterial SSU rRNA
Rfam family: Bacterial small subunit ribosomal RNA
Source: RNAcentral